UUAAGUUAUUAAGGGCGCACGGUGGAUGCCUUGGCACUAGAAGCCGAUGAAGGACGUUACUAACGACGAUAUGCUUUGGGGAGCUGUAAGUAAGCUUUGAUCCAGAGAUUUCCGAAUGGGGAAACCCAGCAUGAGUUAUGUCAUGUUAUCGAUAUGUGAAUACAUAGCAUAUCAGAAGGCACACCCGGAGAACUGAAACAUCUUAGUACCCGGAGGAAGAGAAAGAAAAUUCGAUUCCCUUAGUAGCGGCGAGCGAAACGGGAAGAGCCCAAACCAACAAGCUUGCUUGUUGGGGUUGUAGGACACUCUAUACGGAGUUACAAAGGACGACAUUAGACGAAUCAUCUGGAAAGAUGAAUCAAAGAAGGUAAUAAUCCUGUAGUCGAAAAUGUUGUCUCUCUUGAGUGGAUCCUGAGUACGACGGAGCACGUGAAAUUCCGUCGGAAUCUGGGAGGACCAUCUCCUAAGGCUAAAUACUCUCUAGUGACCGAUAGUGAACCAGUACCGUGAGGGAAAGGUGAAAAGCACCCCGGAAGGGGAGUGAAAUAGAACCUGAAACCGUGUGCUUACAAGUAGUCAGAGCCCGUUAAUGGGUGAUGGCGUGCCUUUUGUAGAAUGAACCGGCGAGUUACGAUUUGAUGCAAGGUUAAGCAGUAAAUGUGGAGCCGUAGCGAAAGCGAGUCUGAAUAGGGCGUUUAGUAUUUGGUCGUAGACCCGAAACCAGGUGAUCUACCCUUGGUCAGGUUGAAGUUCAGGUAACACUGAAUGGAGGACCGAACCGACUUACGUUGAAAAGUGAGCGGAUGAACUGAGGGUAGCGGAGAAAUUCCAAUCGAACCUGGAGAUAGCUGGUUCUCUCCGAAAUAGCUUUAGGGCUAGCCUCAAGUGAUGAUUAUUGGAGGUAGAGCACUGUUUGGACGAGGGGCCCCUCUCGGGUUACCGAAUUCAGACAAACUCCGAAUGCCAAUUAAUUUAACUUGGGAGUCAGAACAUGGGUGAUAAGGUCCGUGUUCGAAAGGGAAACAGCCCAGACCACCAGCUAAGGUCCCAAAAUAUAUGUUAAGUGGAAAAGGAUGUGGCGUUGCCCAGACAACUAGGAUGUUGGCUUAGAAGCAGCCAUCAUUUAAAGAGUGCGUAAUAGCUCACUAGUCGAGUGACACUGCGCCGAAAAUGUACCGGGGCUAAACAUAUUACCGAAGCUGUGGAUUGUCCUUUGGACAAUGGUAGGAGAGCGUUCUAAGGGCGUUGAAGCAUGAUCGUAAGGACAUGUGGAGCGCUUAGAAGUGAGAAUGCCGGUGUGAGUAGCGAAAGACGGGUGAGAAUCCCGUCCACCGAUUGACUAAGGUUUCCAGAGGAAGGCUCGUCCGCUCUGGGUUAGUCGGGUCCUAAGCUGAGGCCGACAGGCGUAGGCGAUGGAUAACAGGUUGAUAUUCCUGUACCACCUAUAAUCGUUUUAAUCGAUGGGGGGACGCAGUAGGAUAGGCGAAGCGUGCGAUUGGAUUGCACGUCUAAGCAGUAAGGCUGAGUAUUAGGCAAAUCCGGUACUCGUUAAGGCUGAGCUGUGAUGGGGAGAAGACAUUGUGUCUUCGAGUCGUUGAUUUCACACUGCCGAGAAAAGCCUCUAGAUAGAAAAUAGGUGCCCGUACCGCAAACCGACACAGGUAGUCAAGAUGAGAAUUCUAAGGUGAGCGAGCGAACUCUCGUUAAGGAACUCGGCAAAAUGACCCCGUAACUUCGGGAGAAGGGGUGCUCUUUAGGGUUAACGCCCAGAAGAGCCGCAGUGAAUAGGCCCAAGCGACUGUUUAUCAAAAACACAGGUCUCUGCUAAACCGUAAGGUGAUGUAUAGGGGCUGACGCCUGCCCGGUGCUGGAAGGUUAAGAGGAGUGGUUAGCUUCUGCGAAGCUACGAAUCGAAGCCCCAGUAAACGGCGGCCGUAACUAUAACGGUCCUAAGGUAGCGAAAUUCCUUGUCGGGUAAGUUCCGACCCGCACGAAAGGCGUAACGAUUUGGGCACUGUCUCAACGAGAGACUCGGUGAAAUCAUAGUACCUGUGAAGAUGCAGGUUACCCGCGACAGGACGGAAAGACCCCGUGGAGCUUUACUGUAGCCUGAUAUUGAAAUUCGGCACAGCUUGUACAGGAUAGGUAGGAGCCUUUGAAACGUGAGCGCUAGCUUACGUGGAGGCGCUGGUGGGAUACUACCCUAGCUGUGUUGGCUUUCUAACCCGCACCACUUAUCGUGGUGGGAGACAGUGUCAGGCGGGCAGUUUGACUGGGGCGGUCGCCUCCUAAAAGGUAACGGAGGCGCUCAAAGGUUCCCUCAGAAUGGUUGGAAAUCAUUCAUAGAGUGUAAAGGCAUAAGGGAGCUUGACUGCGAGACCUACAAGUCGAGCAGGGUCGAAAGACGGACUUAGUGAUCCGGUGGUUCCGCAUGGAAGGGCCAUCGCUCAACGGAUAAAAGCUACCCCGGGGAUAACAGGCUUAUCUCCCCCAAGAGUUCACAUCGACGGGGAGGUUUGGCACCUCGAUGUCGGCUCAUCGCAUCCUGGGGCUGUAGUCGGUCCCAAGGGUUGGGCUGUUCGCCCAUUAAAGCGGUACGCNAGCUGGGUUCAGAACGUCGUGAGACAGUUCGGUCCCUAUCCGUCGUGGGCGUAGGAAAUUUGAGAGGAGCUGUCCUUAGUACGAGAGGACCGGGAUGGACAUACCUCUGGUGUACCAGUUGUCGUGCCAACGGCAUAGCUGGGUAGCUAUGUGUGGACGGGAUAAGUGCUGAAAGCAUCUAAGCAUGAAGCCCCCCUCAAGAUGAGAUUUCCCAACUUCGGUUAUAAGAUCCCUCAAAGAUGAUGAGGUUAAUAGGUUCGAGGUGGAAGCAUGGUGACAUGUGGAGCUGACGAAUACUAAUCGAUCGAAGACUUAAUCAA
Molecule: ribosomal RNA, 2921 nt
Filed under: Staphylococcus aureus
Lineage: Bacteria; Bacillati; Bacillota; Bacilli; Caryophanales; Staphylococcaceae
Description: 23S ribosomal RNA
Rfam family: Bacterial large subunit ribosomal RNA
Source: RNAcentral